This is a long non-coding RNA of Spinacia oleracea (spinach), 1587 nucleotides long. RefSeq lists it as uncharacterized. Lineage: Eukaryota; Viridiplantae; Streptophyta; Magnoliopsida; Caryophyllales; Amaranthaceae. The record is from RefSeq and is a predicted model, not a curated record. The transcript is spliced from 5 exons.
GUUCUUGUAAUUUUUUUUCGAACAUGUUAAAUUAGGUUUUCUUGUUUGUUGAUUAUGUGUUUACUUUUUCUGAUCUUAUGUUUACUUUUUGUGGAUGUUGUGUUUACUUUUGAUGAUAUUGUGUUUACUUUUGCUGAUAAUGUCUUUAUAUUUUCGAUUCCUCUAAUUCCUUCACCUUCUUUGCGAUUAUCCUCUAUCAAUUCGCCAGGUACGUAUUCAAGUUUUCAAUUUUGUGUCAUUUAUCGCUAUUUUGAUUCCUUCGCAAUUGUUGAAGUUAGGGUUUCAAGAAUUCUUUGUUUCAACAUUUUAAGUUGCGAUUUGAUUACUAAAAUUAGGGAUUUUCAAAUUUUAGUAAUCAAUUUUUUGAUAGAAAAAUGAGUAUUAGGACCUACUGAUCCAUUAUUCUUCCAGUCACGAGCUAGUCGAGUGGUUUGCUGGUUUGUGCUACUAGGUAAGUGUGUGCAUGCUGCUUUAGAUUUAAUCAAAGAAGUGAAUUAGUAGUCUCGUUUUCUUUUGUUUUUUUACUGAACUAGUGUUGUUCUAUUUGUAGUUUAUUAGUUGUGUUUCUUUUGUUUACAAAGUGUGAUAUUGUAUGCUAUUUAUCACAAGUCAUCUUUCAUGCAGUUUGGAGUUGAAGAUUGCGGACUAUGAUCCGAGGCAAAACACCAGUUGUUGGGUUGUUGAUAUAUGUUAUAAUCAGACAGUUGGUAACUGGCUAGUGAAGAAGAAGAUGGGACUAGUCUCUAUUUAGCUGAUGGAAUGAGUUAGACCCUCCAUCGCGUCCUGCUGAUUCAAGACUUCCUUUUGAGUAUUUCUAUGAUAUGAGACCUGAUGCAAAUACAAGUUUAGUACCCACUGUGAGUCUUUCUUUGAAAGGAGGUGGCCAGUUUAGGGUUUAUGAUCCCAUCAUUGUCAUUUCAACCCAGCUUUUGAACGCAGAUUGAACUGGUAUAUUGUCUUGCUCUGGUCACAGAUUACCGUCACGGAUUACUCCGUAUUUGAGUGACUCCCUUGAUUUCAGAUCCAAUAAUCUCAUACACUCCGUAUUGCUUAAAUUUGAGCCGGAUAGAGAACCUAUACUAGAUCAUCGAAUACGUGAAGAAGAAGAUGGGACUAGUCUCUAUUUUGCCGAUGGAAUGAGUUAGACCCUCCAUCUGAAGAGGAAAAGCUGAGAAGCAAAAGAGUAUGUAAGCUUUACCAGCACAAUCUAAACCCAUUUGUAGAUCAUCCAGAGUAUGCUAAUCUGAUAUGGACACAAGUCAGAAAAGUUUUUCUAACACCUUAAAGUUGUGGUCAUCCAUCCAGCAACUAGGACUCUGGAAAACAUAACACCGAUACCGUUGCAUUGCGCGCUUGUAGGGGUACAGUAAUUGUCAUAUAUGAGCUUGUAGAAUAACCACCAUUUGAUGCCUCUACUGCAAAAUAACCACCGCCCUUUGAGGUUAUCACAGGAGGGUAUGGCAGAUUGGAAGCCAUGAUGUAGAUAGAAAGAGGAGAAAUCUAGAUCAAUAAAAUUAUUCUAUGGCAAGAGUUGACUUCGUUAAACUAUGUGUUUUUUGUUCCUGUUAAGCUUGCAGUUUAUUUCUA